CCUACGGGAGGCAGCAGUAGGGAAUCUUCCGCAAUGGACGAAAGUCUGACGGAGCAACGCCGCGUGAACGAUGAAGGCCUUCGGGUCGUAAAGUUCUGUUGUCAGGGAAGAACAAGUAUCGGAGUAACUGCCGGUACCUUGACGGUACCUGACCAGAAAGCCACGGCUAACUACGUGCCAGCAGCCGCGGUAAUACGUAGGUGGCAAGCGUUGUCCGGAAUUAUUGGGCGUAAAGCGCGCGCAGGCGGUUCCUUAAGUCUGAUGUGAAAGCCCCCGGCUCAACCGGGGAGGGUCAUUGGAAACUGGGGAACUUGAGUGCAGAAGAGGAGAGCGGAAUUCCACGUGUAGCGGUGAAAUGCGUAGAGAUGUGGAGGAACACCAGUGGCGAAGGCGGCUCUCUGGUCUGUAACUGACGCUGAGGUGCGAAAGCGUGGGGAGCGAACAGGAUUAGAUACCCUGGUAGUCCACGCCGUAAACGAUGAGUGCUAAGUGUUAGAGGGUUUCCGCCCUUUAGUGCUGCAGCAAACGCAUUAAGCACUCCGCCUGGGGAGUACGGCCGCAAGGCUGAAACUUAAAGGAAUUGACGG
RNAcentral lists this ribosomal RNA (587 nucleotides) under uncultured bacterium. RNAcentral's name for it is "bacterial SSU rRNA". It matches the Rfam family "Bacterial small subunit ribosomal RNA", at positions 338 to 916 of the family's 1533-position model. The record is from RNAcentral.